Molecule: ribosomal RNA, 209 nt
Filed under: Plasmodium falciparum (malaria parasite P. falciparum)
Lineage: Eukaryota; Apicomplexa; Aconoidasida; Haemosporida; Plasmodiidae
Description: partial 18S ribosomal RNA
Source: RNAcentral
UGUUUAAACUGGUUUGGGAAAACCAAAUAUAUUAUAUAUUUUGCUUUGUUCAAAAUAAGGUUUUCUAAUAAAUUAUGUUUUUAUCAGAUAUGACAGAAUCUUUUUUAAAAUCUCUUCAAUAUGCUUUUAUUGCUUUUGAGAGGUUUUGUUACUUUGAGUAAAAUUAAGUGUUCAUAACAGACGGGUAGUCAUGAUUGAGUUCAUUGUGU